GAUGAACGCUGGCGGCGUGCCUAAUACAUGCAAGUCGAGCGAAAAGACGAGGAGCUUGCUCCUCUGACGUUAGCGGCGGACGGGUGAGUAACACGUGGAUAACCUACCUAUAAGACGGGGAUAACUUCGGGAAACCGGAGCUAAUACCGGAUAAUAUAUUGAACCGCAUGGUUCAAUAGUGAAAGACGGUUUUGCUGUCACUGAUAGAUGGAUCCGCGCCGCAUUAGCUAGUUGGUAAGGUAACGGCUUACCAAGGCAACGAUGCGUAGCCGACCUGAGAGGGUGAUCAGCCACACUGGAACUGAGACACGGUCCAGACUCCUACGGGAGGCAGCAGUAGGGAAUCUUCCGCAAUGGGCGAAAGCUUGACGGAGCAACGCCGCGUGAGUGAUGAAGGUCUUCGGAUCGUAAAGCUCUGUUAUCAGGGAAGAACAAAUGUGUAAGUAACUAUGCACGUCUUGACGGUACCUAAUCAGAAAGCCACGGCUAACUACGUG
This 497-nucleotide ribosomal RNA is filed under the name uncultured bacterium. Its description in RNAcentral is "partial 16S ribosomal RNA". It matches the Rfam family "Bacterial small subunit ribosomal RNA", at positions 28 to 507 of the family's 1533-position model. The record is from RNAcentral.